This 406-nucleotide ribosomal RNA is filed under the name uncultured bacterium. RNAcentral's name for it is "partial 16S ribosomal RNA". It matches the Rfam family "Bacterial small subunit ribosomal RNA", at positions 29 to 526 of the family's 1533-position model. The record is from RNAcentral.
AUUGAACGCUGGCGGCAGGCCUAACACAUGCAAGUCGAACGAGUGGCGGACGGGUGAGUAAUGUCUGGGAAACUGCCUGAUGGAGGGGGAUAACUACUGGAAACGGUAGCUAAUACCGCAUACCAUCAGAUGUGCCCAGAUGGGAUUAGCUUGUUGGUGGGGUAACGGCUCACCAAGGCGACGAUCCCUAGCGGGUCUGAGAGGAUGACCAGGCACACUGGAACGGAGAAACGGUCCAGACUCCUACGGGAGGUAGCAGUGGGGAAUGUGGCAAAAUGGGCGCAAUCGUGAUGCAGCCAUGCGGCGUGUAUGAAGAAGGGCUUCGGGUUGUAAAGUGCUUUAAGCGGGGAGGCGUUGCCAGCAGAAGAAGCACCGACUAACUCCGUGCCAGCAGCCGCGGUAAUAC